Molecule: ribosomal RNA, 510 nt
Filed under: uncultured bacterium
Lineage: Bacteria
Description: partial 16S ribosomal RNA
Rfam family: Bacterial small subunit ribosomal RNA
Source: RNAcentral
GACGAACGCUGGCGGCGUGCUUAACACGUGCAAGUCGAACGAAGAGCGAUGGAAGCUUGCUUCUAUCAAUCUUAGUGGCGAACGGGUGAGUAACGCGUAAUCAACCUGCCCUUCAGAGGGGGACAACAGUUGGAAACGACUGCUAAUACCGCAUACGAUCUAAUCUCGGCAUCGAGGAUAGAUGAAAGGUGGCCUCUACAUGUAAGCUAUCACUGAAGGAGGGGAUUGCGUCUGAUUAGCUAGUUGGAGGGGUAACGGCCCACCAAGGCGAUGAUCAGUAGCCGGUCUGAGAGGAUGAACGGCCACAUUGGGACUGAGACACGGCCCAGACUCCUACGGGAGGCAGCAGUGGGGAGUCUUCCGCAAUGGACGAAAGUCUGACGGAGCAACGCCGCGUGAGUGAUGACGGCCUUCGGGUUGUAAAGCUCUGUUAAUCGGGACGAAAGGCCUUCUUGCGAAUAGUGAGAAGGAUUGACGGUACCGGAAUAGAAAGCCACGGCUAACUACGUG